This 278-nucleotide long non-coding RNA is filed under the name Sorghum bicolor (sorghum). RNAcentral's name for it is "long non-coding RNA (SBIC_LNC011386)". The record is from RNAcentral. Lineage: Eukaryota; Viridiplantae; Streptophyta; Magnoliopsida; Poales; Poaceae.
GUACAUCACAUGCAUUGCUUAUGUUGCACCUGUCGCCUCGUUAAAAACCUUGCAUGAGAAAACCCGGUGGGAAAAACUCAUCAAGGAAAAAAGAGUACGACAGUUGAUGUUCGAGUCGGUCUUCAGGACCGACUUGUGAUCUUCAGGACCAUAGUCAUGGGUUAUAAUCUUUGGGGUUGGUCUCCCCCUGAACCCUGCAACUCUCUAAGCCGCCUCACACUUGUUCCAUGGACACACUUAUAGAAGCUAGAGGUGGGUAGAGAUUUUGUGAAAAGAUC